This 86-nucleotide ribosomal RNA is filed under the name Gottfriedia endophytica. Lineage: Bacteria; Bacillati; Bacillota; Bacilli; Caryophanales; Bacillaceae. The record is from RNAcentral.
GUUCCCAUCCCGAACACGGAAGUUAAGCUCUUUAGCGCCGAUGGUAGUUGGGGGCUUCCCCCUGUGAGAGUAGGACGUUGCCUGGU